CCUCCUCUGUCAGGGACGCGCGCACACGUACAACAGCCCAACACUACAGAGAACAGGCUACAAUCACGCUUUGCCCACAGAUAUCAUCAUUAUUAUAUAGAAGAAAAAAAAAACAUCUGUAAUUUGCAUUUGUCAUCGUCUUUUUCCUAUUUGGACAUUGAUGCAUUUGCCUCAGCGGUCGCCGUAGCGGUCCAAACGAUCAAUUUCCUUCCCUCCUGCAUCCAAAGACUGAUCUGCGCUGCAAGAUGGCUGAGCUGAAUUUGGGGAAGGGGCUGACAGCUGGGAAAGUGGCCAGCAACGUUCAGAAAAAGCUCACCAGAGCCCAGGAAAAGGUUCUACAGAAGCUUGGCAAAGCAGAUGAGACCAAAGACGCUGCUUUUGAGGAGUGGGUCAUCAACUUCAACAAACAAUAUACUGAAGGCAGCAAACUCCAGAGGGACCUAAGAGCAUACCUUGAGGCAGUUAGAGCUAUGCACGAGUCCUCCAAGAAUCUACAGGCAUGUCUAGGUGACAUGUAUGAGCCAGACUGGUAUGGCAAGAAUGAAGUGGAUUCUGUUCUGGAGGACUGUGAUGUGCUUUGGACUGAUUACCAUCAGAAGUUGGUUGAUCACGCUCUGAUCUCCAUGGAUACCUACCUGGGUCAGUUCCCUGAUAUUAAGGCUCGCAUUGCAAAGAGAGACAGGAAGCUGGUGGAUUACGACAGUGCCAGACAUAACUAUGCUGCUACACAUAAGACUAAGAAAAAAGACGGAGGCAUUAAAAUUACAAAGCCGUCCACCUUGUUGGAAAGAGCCACUCCAGGCUGGGCUCAGGGUAUCUUGUCUGCACACAACCUUGCUCAGACCAGUCUCUCAAAGAGUCAGGCUGAGGAAGAGUUGGAGAGAGCCCAGAAGGUGUUUGAGGAGAUUAAUCUUGAUUUGCAAGAAGAGUUACCUUCACUCUGGAACAGUCGUGUUGGAUUUUAUGUCAGCACCUUCCAGAGUUUGGCGGGCUUUGAGGAGAAGUUUCAUAAGGAAAUCAGUCGGUUGGAUCAGGAUUUGUAUGAUGUGUUGGAGAAAUUGGAGAAUAGCGACACAGCCAGAGCGACUAGUGACCUUGGCACAGCAUCGUCAGGACCAAGCAGGAGUGAUAGAGAGGACUCUAACCACACUCUCAGACCAGGAGGACCACCUCCAAUCCCCAAAUCCCCAUCCAAGUUAAGACCAGCAGUGCCUCCACCACCUAAGGUAACCCCAUCUAAGGAACUAAAAACUGAGAACAUCAUCAGCCUGUUUGAUGCUGCAGCAACUCCUGAUAUCAAUGUCACCUCUCCUACAGAGUUUGACAGUCCUGCAGUCAACAACCUGUUGGAUAUGGACCUGGAGUCUUUCAGUGAAGCAGCCAAAGUCUCCACAGUCUCUCAGCCAGCUAACUGGGACUCAUGGCCGGAGGAUGCUGACGCACAGGAAGAAGAAACUCAGAAGCACUAUGACCCUGUUGCUGCUGCUACAGAGGCCUGGGGUGAUGAUGGUACACAACCCAUCCGCUAUGAUCCCAUAGCAGCAGCCUCAGAGGGCUGGGGGGAUGAUGGGACCCAACCUGUUCGCUACGACUCUGUGACUGCAUCGCAGGAGGGAUGGGAGGACGAUGGGAGCCAGGCGGCUCACUACGAUACAGUACAAGAAGCCCAGGAGGAAUGGGGUGACGAUGUAGAGCAGCCUGUCAAAGAGGAGCCAGCUGCAGCUGAAACACCUGCUGAUGAGGCUCCGCCUGAUGUGGUUGAGGAGGACAACACUCCAGCUGCUCCCGAGCUGGAUGAAAAAGAGGGUCAGGGAGAUUCUUCAGCAUCAGCUGCUGAACCUGAACCAGAAGAAGCAGCAACAGAGGAGACACCUGCAGACUCCGCAGACUCCGCAGACUCCGACCACAGCAGCAGAAUCAACACAAGAUUCAUCAGAGACUACAGACAUGCCUCCUGGCUUCUUGUUCAAGGUCCAGGUGAUGCAUGAUUAUGCUGCCAAUGACACAGAUGAACUGGAGAUGAAGGCUGGUGAUGUGGUUCUAGUAGUCACCUUUGACAGUCCAGAUGAACAGGAUGAUGGCUGGCUGAUGGGACUGAAGCAGGACGAUUGGCAGCAGAACAAAGAAAAUGCCACUAAAGGAGUAUUUCCUGAAAACUUCACACAGAGGCUGUGAAAGAAGGGGCACGUUCCUUUGUUGAUACUCUGUUCCUCUUGCCUAUUUAUGUCCUUCUCCUCUCUUUCCCCUCAAUACUGUAUCCUAACAAGGACUUUGGCCAUAUAAACAGAGCUGUGAUAGCCCUGGAUGAAGUCAUGCAUUUCUAAGAUCUGCUACACUGUGGAUCUUUUUAUUUAUGUUUCAUUUCUGUUUUUUCAUGAUGUAUCCAUUUCAUGGGGCUGUUUGCCAUCACACUACUCAGUAUUUGAGGAGUCCUGCUCAUUCAGGAUCAGGUGUACUGAUAGUAACCUAUUCAGUGGCUACAACCGAAAUCAAUUUCUGAUGACUCAAUCUUUGUCAUGUCGCAUCAACUGAAAUUUAAGAUUUGUUAUUUUUGUGGCAGAUUGAGAACCGUGUUAAAUAUGUAAGAUGUUGCCAGAUGUACUAGAAAACCUGAAAAAACAUAUUGUUGUAAAAAGUAAGUACAUCCUCUUUCAACUAUAAGGUUUACUUGAGAAGGACAGUGCAAUACGUCCCGUUUUAGUUUAAUAGGCAUGAACCAGUUAUCAGUGUCAAGGUGUAUAGAGGUUUUAAAAAAGUGGAGUUUAAAAAACGGAAAAAUGUUUAGCUUUACCACUCAUAGGUUUAAAAUUAUUUUGCUAAGAUGCAGAGGAAAGUAUGAAACGCUGUGCUGACCGUCCCCCAUGUGGUACCACACACUGCCAGACAGCUGGCUGAAAGAAGGCUCUUACCCUGCUUCCCCUCUUACAAGAUGGCGAAAUUUGGUUGUUGUAGGUAUUUUCAGGCAUGAAAAACACAGACAGUGUAGUGUACUCUUAACAAAAAACUUUUCCGCAACUAAGCUUGCGAGGUUAGAUCGACAUAAUUUUCCUAUGCAGUAAGAUUACAAAGCCUCUCCUGAAUUUUGAGGCUGUUUAUUUUGGACUGUUUCUCGUAUAUAAAAUUCAAUUAUCAAUAUGUAAAUGUACAGUAGCAUUGUUAUACCUACAAUAAAUCAAUGCAUUUUAUUGAUUUAACAGCAGUACAAACGUGUUUCUGUUCUAGUCUGAACAAAGCCAAUUACAUCAUGUUAAAUAUUUUCAUUUGAUACAUUUUUAGGCAACCGUGGUAGUUCCAAUUCAUACUUGCUCAAUUCCCUAAGACCUGGAAAUAACCUCAUUUUUUGGGGGGGGGAUUAAGUUCUGGUAUAUAAAUGUGUUGAAGCGAAAGAGGGUGUACUUUCAUUUUACAUGUGACUAUAAUAUAAAACAAGACCUAAAUGUUGUUUUACAAAGAUAAAAAGGGGCAAAAGUGCUAUUCUCUAGCUGACCAAAUGGGCAAAAAUCUUCACUCCUUAGUCUAGUCACAAAAGAAUAAAAUAAGUACCAUUCCAGAAAAUACAAUUUUAUUUAAUCAAAACUAAAAAAUAAAUAAAUAAAAAAAUAGAAAGGAAAACUUAAUAAUACUCCCGUCUGAUCAGUCAAGAUGCUUAUCUCAUUGCUGGUGGAGUUAGUUUGAUCGAUGAUUAAACUCCUCACACAUUGCCUUCAGGAUAUGUCCAGCAAUUCCUAUAUUCUUACUUUCAUUGUUUACUUGUGGAAAAGGGGCCCUUGGUUGUUGUUGUGUUAGUAUCGAGUCUCUGGUGGCAUAAGUAUGAUCCUGUUGUAAAAACAAAUCAGAUAGUGACAAAUGCAGAAAGCAGCAAAUUCAGACAGACAAUGGGACUCCAGCAUCAACAAAUCCCCCAGAAGCUAAAAAAUAGAAAUCUCUAUAAUAUAUUUUGAAAUAGUUUGAAGUUGUGUGAUAUGAUCUUGUUUCCACAUGAUUCCAGAUAUGCAUUGCUCAGGCUGGCCAUAAAGCUAGCCAGCAUCACAGAGAAGCUGCUGCUGGUAGUAUAAUAGAUGACACACUAAUUAUAGUCCAAUAUAUAACAACUGAGCCAGCCGAACUCAUAAAAAAAAUGUGCCGAAAACAGUUUCCUCUGUUUGCAUAGAGACUUCUAAACACCAAUGCAGAUGUUUAAGAUUAUGCACCAGAGCAACUUCUUUUAUUUUUAUACGCUGCCGAGCAAUGAUUACAUAUAGUCUAGUGUAACUAUGUUGACGUAAUUGCCAACUGAGGAUGAUCUGGAGUAUUUUGUACUUAUCUGGGGUUCACUGCUCUCUGUGUAGAUUCAUAGAUAUGUAGUACUAACCCAGUUGUUCAUUCAGUCUCUAACUUAAAAGUCUCAAAUCUCAUUAGGUUAUUAGUGUGUAAUAGGCACGAGAGAGAAUGUGAGUGAGUAUGUGCGGUGUUUGAGGAAUGCAAAUGUUUAUCUGUAGGAAAAUAUUAUUAACCACCACCACCACUUACAGAGGAAUACAGUCAACCGCAUCAGUGGGAAGGUUUUAUGAUGUUACAGAGGGAAACAUAUGUUUCUUUUUCCACUGGCUGAUAUUAUGGUUCCAGGUAUUAUAGUGCAUUUGUUGUGUAUCAGUGUAAUUUUUUCCAAGCUGUGAUGACAGAUACAUAUUCUAAGAAAACAUUCAUAUCUGUAUGUGAGUAACUGUGAGCAUGCUGACUUUCCACGUGUUGUUGUGUGAACACUCUUAAUUUAAGGCGGUGAUACUUGGGUCACUUUUGAGGCAGUUGCAACAAGCUAUUUUUUUCUUUCUAUAUUUUUUAUUACUUUUUUUAUGGCUACUCUUGGUAAGAGAGAUGGUGUGGGCAUUACAUGGGUUUUUUUUUCAACAUUUUCUCAUAAAUUGAUCCUGUUUUUUUUUUGUUUGUUUGUUUGUUUUCCAUCUGCCGUGCCUCAAAAUGUUUCUAGGUAUCGUGGUCCAAAGCAGAGUUAAUUAUAAGGGAGGCAGGACUCAUAGAGAUAAAGUUAAUACAACCAGACUCAGGUGCACAGAUUUUUUUAAAUACUUUUCAGUAUUUAGCCACUGUGGAUGUGAAUUUUUUUUUCAAUGUGUAUUUGAAAAAAAAAAUUCUCAAAUGUGAGAAUAACCACCUUCAUAUUUAGGUAAAUCACACAGUAAAUCACAUGCUUUGUUCUCAAAUUUUGUGUAUGAAUUGGAGUGUUUUACCUGGGUCUGGUUCUGUCUCCAGCUUUAUGGAUCAGUCUCUAAUGGUGGUAUCUGGGAUAUGACAAAAAUAUUUUUUUUUUCCCUGUACCUAAAUGACCAGUAAUAAUAAAGAUUACUUAGAAUCUGC
Xiphophorus hellerii (green swordtail) is the source of this 5352-nucleotide RNA transcript. It is a transcript of the gene named bridging integrator 1a, with no coding region annotated. NCBI's taxonomy places the organism in Eukaryota, Metazoa, Chordata, Actinopteri, Cyprinodontiformes, Poeciliidae. The transcript is spliced from 20 exons. The record is from RefSeq and is a predicted model, not a curated record.